Molecule: ribosomal RNA, 250 nt
Filed under: uncultured Microbotryomycetes
Lineage: Eukaryota; Fungi; Basidiomycota; Microbotryomycetes
Description: partial small subunit ribosomal RNA
Rfam family: Eukaryotic small subunit ribosomal RNA
Source: RNAcentral
AGCUCCAAUAGCGUAUAUUAAAGUUGUUGCCGUUAAAAAGCUCGUAGUCGAACUUCGGCGCCUGAUGGCCGGUCCGCCUUCUUGGUGUGUACUUGCUCAUCGGGCGCUUACCUCCUGGUGAACUCUGAUGUCCUUUAUUGGGUGUCAGAGCAAACCAGGACGUUUACUUUGAAAAAAUUAGAGUGUUCAAAGCAGGCCUACGCCCGAAUACAUUAGCAUGGAAUAAUAGAAUAGGACGCGCGUUUCUAUU